Molecule: ribosomal RNA, 492 nt
Filed under: Triticum aestivum (bread wheat)
Lineage: Eukaryota; Viridiplantae; Streptophyta; Magnoliopsida; Poales; Poaceae
Description: partial small subunit ribosomal RNA
Source: RNAcentral
AUGCCCGAUCCUCCCCAACCCCCUGCCCAGGCGCCGCCGGCCAGAUCCCUGCCCAGCGCGCCGCCGGCCGGAUCCCUGCCCAGCGCGCCGCCGGCCGGAUCCCUCCCCAGCGCGCCGCCGCCCGGCUCCGUCCCCAUCGCUCCGCCGCCUGGCUACCUCCCAGCGCGCCGCCGCCCGAUUCCUUCCCCAGUGCUCCGCCUCCAGGCUUCCUCCCCAGAGCGCCGCCCGACUCCCUCCCUAGAAGCCACCGCGGCAUGUUCCUCCGCCGGCCAAUGGACACAGUGGGCCGUUCAACUUCCUACCGUUGGCCGUCCUCCCUGCCGCGGGGCACCUCUCACCCCUGCGCCGUCCGUCGAGACAUUCCCCUAUGAGCUUGAGGCAGAGCUCACCUUCUCCACAUCCCCUUCCUCUACUUGUUGCAGCCGUCUAUGUCGUAGGUCUUCAAUGUGUAUUUUUAGAAGAAAAUCAACAACGGCGGCUGCACUGGAGUAG